GACGAACGCUGGCGGCGUGCCUAAUACAUGCAAGUCGAGCGAACCAAUAAGAAGCUUGCUUUUUGUUGGUUAGCGGCGGACGGGUGAGUCACACGUGGGUAACCUGCCUGUAAGACCGGGAUAACUCCGGGAAACCGGUGCUAAUACCGGAUAGAUUAUCUUUCCGCAUGGAGAGAUAAGGAAAGAUGGCUAUUGCCAUCACUUACAGAUGGGCCCGCGGCGCAUUAGCUAGUUGGUGAGGUAACGGCUCACCAAGGCGACGAUGCGUAGCCGACCUGAGAGGGUGAUCGGCCACACUGGGACUGAGACACGGCCCAGACUCCUACGGGAGGCAGCAGUAGGGAAUCUUCCGCAAUGGACGAAAGUCUGACGGAGCAACGCCGCGUGAGCGAAGAAGGUCUUCGGAUCGUAAAGCUCUGUUGUUAGGGAAGAACAAGUAUCGGAGGAAAUGCCGGUACCUUGACGGUACCUGACGAGAAAGCCACGGCUAACUACGUG
This 498-nucleotide ribosomal RNA is filed under the name uncultured bacterium. RNAcentral describes it as "partial 16S ribosomal RNA". It matches the Rfam family "Bacterial small subunit ribosomal RNA", at positions 28 to 507 of the family's 1533-position model. The record is from RNAcentral.